CUCUCCUACGGGACGCAGCAGUGAGGAAUAUUGGUCAAUGGGCGGAAGCCUGAACCAGCCAAGUCGCGUGAGGGAAUAAGGCCCUACGGGUCGUAAACCUCUUUUGCCGGGGAGCAAGGGCCGGGACGCGUCCCGGCCCGGAGAGUACCCGGAGGAAAAGCAUCGGCUAACUCCGUGCCAGCAGCCGCGGUAAUACGGAGGAUGCGCGCGUUAUCCCGAUUUAUUGGGUUUAAAGGGUGCGUAGGCGGGCUUUUAAGUCAGCGGUAAAAAUUCGGGGCUCA
Molecule: ribosomal RNA, 281 nt
Filed under: uncultured bacterium
Lineage: Bacteria
Description: partial 16S ribosomal RNA
Rfam family: Bacterial small subunit ribosomal RNA
Source: RNAcentral